Molecule: ribosomal RNA, 828 nt
Filed under: Microbacterium sp. A2
Lineage: Bacteria; Bacillati; Actinomycetota; Actinomycetes; Micrococcales; Microbacteriaceae
Description: bacterial SSU rRNA
Rfam family: Bacterial small subunit ribosomal RNA
Source: RNAcentral
GAUGAACGCUGGCGGCGUGCUUAACACAUGCAAGUCGAACGGUGAACACGGAGCUUGCUCUGUGGGAUCAGUGGCGAACGGGUGAGUAACACGUGAGCAACCUGCCCCUGACUCUGGGAUAAGCGCUGGAAACGGCGUCUAAUACUGGAUAUGUGACGUGACCGCAUGGUCUGCGUCUGGAAAGAAUUUCGGUUGGGGAUGGGCUCGCGGCCUAUCAGCUUGUUGGUGAGGUAAUGGCUCACCAAGGCGUCGACGGGUAGCCGGCCUGAGAGGGUGACCGGCCACACUGGGACUGAGACACGGCCCAGACUCCUACGGGAGGCAGCAGUGGGGAAUAUUGCACAAUGGGCGCAAGCCUGAUGCAGCAACGCCGCGUGAGGGACGACGGCCUUCGGGUUGUAAACCUCUUUUAGCAGGGAAGAAGCGAAAGUGACGGUACCUGCAGAAAAAGCGCCGGCUAACUACGUGCCAGCAGCCGCGGUAAUACGUAGGGCGCAAGCGUUAUCCGGAAUUAUUGGGCGUAAAGAGCUCGUAGGCGGUUUGUCGCGUCUGCUGUGAAAUCCGGAGGCUCAACCUCCGGCCUGCAGUGGGUACGGGCAGACUAGAGUGCGGUAGGGGAGAUUGGAAUUCCUGGUGUAGCGGUGGAAUGCGCAGAUAUCAGGAGGAACACCGAUGGCGAAGGCAGAUCUCUGGGCCGUAACUGACGCUGAGGAGCGAAAGGGUGGGGAGCAAACAGGCUUAGAUACCCUGGUAGUCCACCCCGUAAACGUUGGGAACUAGUUGUGGGGUCCAUUCCACGGAUUCCGUGACGCAGCUAACGCAUUAAGU